GUUCCUAUCUUGUAGAAUUUGUCACGGACAGGCCCUCUCCAGGGCGGCUGCCAGGUGGGCCAGGCUAUGGAAAAGAGGUGAAACUACAAAAGGGCAAGGACGAGGACCCGUGAGGGAAUCGAAUAAGAACAGACCAGUCAUCUUCUUCCUCUGUCCAAGAACCUGCUCCUAUAGCUUCUUGCUAUCCCUCUCAAAUCUCUGUUACAUCUAGUUUAGAUUCAUUCUGAUUCUUUCCCAAUUUAUAUUCAUACUCUUGCUAUUGUGAUUUGGAGGUCUAGGAUCGUAACAAUUGGUAACCAGAGCCUUGUUCUUGGGAAUCCACCAAAAUUUUUCCCCAAAUUAGAUCCAAGCACUGCUGAAUAUGAGAGGAUGGAUUGCUCUACCUGCUCCCACCGCCGCGCCCGGAGUCUGCCUCCAUUGACGCCCUCUCGAAGAGGAUGGAUUGCUUGCUACGGAAGAUGGAGGAGGCACAUGCAAGGAUGGGUACCACCCCCAAGACCGUCGCGUCUACGGCAUGGGAGUAGCCCCAUCCUCAAGCACGGCAUCGACGCCCUCCGCUCCGACCUGGGCUCAGGUCGCCGCAUCGGCGCCCUCCACUCCGACCUCGGCGCAGGUCGCCGCCACCGGCGCGUCGGCUUCUUCGCCUACAACCGCGGCCGCCACGACGACCAACAUUGUCUGCACCAACUCGCCUUCGCCGAUGGCUUCGGACAAGGACGACAUGGGCACCGACUCUUUUGCUACCUGUGAUGCAUCCACCUUGAGGGUUUCCAGCAAGCUACCCAACUCGGCCCCUAGCGCCCAAAAAGUGUUUGAUGAAAUGGCACCUCAGCAGAUGGUGUUCAUGGGAGGUUUUCUUGACUCUGCAGACCACAACCUCGGCACUGUGAUGUCCACCCUUCAUUCCUCCAAGGUGCCUCAGAACACAACAACGACGAAUGAUUACAUGUUGCGGGGCUUUCUGCGCAUCCGAAACCACCACAUCAACAAGGGGUCAGUGAAGCGGCUCAAGCACCUCAAAUGGAAGCUUGUAGCAUCCUCGGCUCCAACCACAGCGCCGAAAGCACUCGUUGCUGCUCUGACCUUUGGGCUGACCGCACCAAUAGCAUCAGCGCCCACCCAUGUCCAGGCUUCACCAGCACUAGUUGCUCUGGGUGUAGAAUAAGAGGGCCCCCACCGUCUCGCCCGCAACGGCUUUAUGCUCAGAUGUUUGCCCACUUCACGUUCACAUGGCUUGCACACUCGAGAGCAAGCCAGCAAUCAGGUACAUUACCAACACCAUUGCUGAAUACACAAUUGGUGUUGUUCCUGAUGCAGAAAAGGUGUUUGGGAGAACCAUGGCUCUGAAUCUAUUGCCUACUACUUUAGUCGUGGGACCAGGACCAUCUAUUUGGAAUCCUAAGAAAAUUGACAUUGUGCUAAAACCCCCAUGGUCAUUGUGUCUAGCUGGUGCUAGCUCCAAGGGUGAUUUGGUUGACAUUAGGCAUGCUUGUGAUUUUACUACUCUGAUUUCAUCGCUGCUAUGGCCACAUCUUUAGAGGGACAAUAACACCUUGCUUAGACCAUUACCUUGGCCAUCCUUCAAUUGUCAUACAUUGGUUAUGCAGUUGGAAAAGUUGUUGCCAAUAACGUUUUAUUACUCGGUCAGUAAGUGCAAGAUGAAGUUGCUAACUGAUGGAAUCAGAGAGAUUCUUAUGCUUAGCUACACAAUUGGUGGGUUUCGGUUAGAUCAGCAGUAUGAGCAACUAUCUCAAUGGGAUAGUAAUGGUUUCAGUCCUGGAAAUGUUAGAGUGCAAGGAAAUUAUUUGAUGCUCGACAAGCUGCCAUCAGGGAAAAGAGGUGUUUUAGGAGGCAGAAAGGCUGCAGGGAGCACAAUGGUUGAGCUAUUAUGGAGUUGUAAUAGAACUGGAGCCCGUAAGCUAUUGGAAUGUGGCAACAACCAGCCUGGGAAAUACAUUCACUCCAUGUCUUGGCACUACAAACAACAGACUCUGUCUUGAGUGAUGCACUACAAUUGUUGUUUUUAUGGCCAUCACCUCAAAUCAGAAUAGUAGUUCAGCAUUUUAAUGCUGCAGAAAAGGCUAUUGAUGAACUGCAAUUGAGAAGCAACAUCUGGGAUUUCACUGAAGAUCAGCAAGUUGAUUGCACAGACUUAUAAUUCAUUGAAGCGAGAUAUAACAUAUAGCUGAAAAAUGUACUGCUGAAUGACAAUGCAGUUGCAUGUGGUCUUAGUAGGCAUUCAGACAAGUUGAGAGCGUAUUGAUCCACACAAAGUUGAGUAAUGCUUGCAAUUGUUUCCUUCAUGGUCGGAAUGAGGUUGAUAACACCAUUUCGUGCAGAAAAGAAGUUUUCCAUGUGCAAGACAUCGCAAUUGCUUUUGAGGAGUGGAUCCAUAUGGGUUUCUUUUCAGUUCAGCAGUGCAAUAAUUCUCACAAAACUGUGCAGGAUUCAGUUCAGUGUAGAAAUGCCCCAAAUUGUGCAGUGUGCAUAUCAAAUUAUGCUUCCUUGGGAUCCAGGUGGUGUAAAGCGUGACUCCUUGAAUUACUUCACAUCGGUUUGGAGGCAACCUGUACAACGUGAGGUUCCAGAGCCAUGACAACGCCAAGAAGAUACUAGUGAUCUUCAGUUUUGUGCAACCUCUGCCUGCAAGUGGUUGAUCAUCUUUGUGGCUAUGGACUGGCAUCAUGAUAUAUAUCUUAUUAACCUGAUUGCUGUGAAGCUACAGUGCAAGACAAUGAAUUUAAGCAGCAAUAGCUCCGUUCAUUGGCAAUGGUGCAACCACUCAAUGAUGGAGAUGGUAAGGUCUCUUGGGAGUUGUCAAGGAUCAGUGGAGGUGGUCAUCUCCACUGGAGCAAAUUGUUCACUGAAUCAUGUCAAGAUCGCUAAGCCAAAGACGAAGCACUACUUCAAAUUUCAAUGGGAGCCCGGUGGUUGCGGCUUGAGGGCAAGCCGCAUUUCAAGUGGUGGGGAAUGUCACGGACAGGCCUCUCCAGGGCGGCUGCAAGGUGGGCCAGGCUAUGGAAAAGAGGUGAAACUACAAAAGGGCAAGGACGAGGACCCGUGAGGGCAUCGAACAAGAACAGACCCAACAUGUUCUUCCUCUGUCCAAGAACCUGCUCCUAUAGCUUCUUGCUAUCCCUCUCAAAUCUUUGUUACCUGUAGUCUAGAUUCAUUCUGAUUCUUCCCCAAUUUGUAUUCAUACUCUUGCUAUUGUGAUUUGGAGGUCUAGGACCGUAACAGAAUCUCACAUGCAUAGCAUACACAAGGUGUAUGUGUCUACCAA
Molecule: long non-coding RNA, 3283 nt
Organism: Panicum virgatum (switchgrass)
Lineage: Eukaryota; Viridiplantae; Streptophyta; Magnoliopsida; Poales; Poaceae
Exons: 2
Source: RefSeq, a predicted model, not a curated record